AGUGAACGCUGGCGGUAGGCCUAACACAUGCAAGUCGAACGGCAGCACAGUAAGAGCUUGCUCUUACGGGUGGCGAGUGGCGGACGGGUGAGGAAUACAUCGGAAUCUACUUUUUCGUGGGGGAUAACGUAGGGAAACUUACGCUAAUACCGCAUACGACCUACGGGUGAAAGCAGGGGAUCUUCGGACCUUGCGCGAUUGAAUGAGCCGAUGUCGGAUUAGCUAGUUGGCGGGGUAAAGGCCCACCAAGGCGACGAUCAGUAGCUGGUCUGAGAGGAUGAUCAGCCACACUGGAACUGAGACACGGUCCAGACUCCUACGGGAGGCAGCAGUGGGGAAUAUUGGACAAUGGGCGCAAGCCUGAUCCAGCCAUACCGCGUGGGUGAAGAAGGCCUUCGGGUUGUAAAGCCCUUUUGUUGGGAAAGAAAAGCAGCAGGUUAAUACCCCGCUGUUCUGACGGUACCCAAAGAAUAAACACCGGCUAACUUCGU
RNAcentral lists this ribosomal RNA (491 nucleotides) under uncultured bacterium. RNAcentral's name for it is "partial 16S ribosomal RNA". It matches the Rfam family "Bacterial small subunit ribosomal RNA", at positions 29 to 506 of the family's 1533-position model. The record is from RNAcentral.